GACGAACGCUGGCGGCGUGCUUAACACAUGCAAGUCGAACGAUGAAGCCGGAGCUUGCUCUGGUGAAUUAGUGGCGAACGGGUGAGUAACAUGUGAGUAACCUGCCCUUGACUCUGGGAUAACUGCGGGAAACUGUAGCUAAUACCGGAUACGACCCUCGGAGGCAUCUCCUGGGGGUGGAAAGAAUUUCGGUCAAGGAUGGACUCGCGGCCUAUCAGCUAGUUGGUGAGGUAAAGGCUCACCAAGGCGACGGCGGGUAGCCGGCCUGAGAGGGUGACCGGCCACACUGGGACUGAGACACGGCCCAGACUCCUACGGGAGGCAGCAGUGGGGAAUAUUGCACAAUGGGCGCAAGCCUGAUGCAGCAACGCCGCGUGAGGGAUGACGGCCUUCGGGUUGUAAACCUCUUUUAGUAGGGAAGAAGCGAAAGUGACGGUACCUGCAGAAAAAGCACCGGCUAACUACGUGCCAGCCGCCGCGGUAA
Molecule: ribosomal RNA, 484 nt
Filed under: uncultured bacterium
Lineage: Bacteria
Description: partial 16S ribosomal RNA
Rfam family: Bacterial small subunit ribosomal RNA
Source: RNAcentral